This 69-nucleotide transfer RNA is filed under the name Urocitellus parryii (Arctic ground squirrel). RNAcentral describes it as "Spermophilus parryii (Arctic ground squirrel) tRNA". It matches the Rfam family "tRNA". Rfam says of the family: Transfer RNA (tRNA) molecules are approximately 80 nucleotides in length. Their secondary structure includes four short double-helical elements and three loops (D, anti-codon, and T loops). The record is from Rfam by way of RNAcentral. RNAcentral also lists the same sequence under 1 other name. Lineage: Eukaryota; Metazoa; Chordata; Mammalia; Rodentia; Sciuridae.
AGUGAUGUAACUCAGUGGUAGAGUACUUGCCUAGCAUGUGUGAGGCACUGGGUUCUAUCCCCAGCACUG